RNAcentral lists this transfer RNA (62 nucleotides) under Phytophthora infestans (potato late blight agent). RNAcentral describes it as "tRNA-Val". The record is from RNAcentral. Lineage: Eukaryota; Oomycota; Peronosporomycetes; Peronosporales; Peronosporaceae.
ACAGCUCAGCGGUUGAACACUCGCUUCACAAGCGAUAGGUCGGUGGUUCGAACCCACUAAUG